Long non-coding RNA from Zalophus californianus (California sea lion), 501 nucleotides. RefSeq lists it as uncharacterized. The record is from RefSeq and is a predicted model, not a curated record. The transcript has 3 exons. Lineage: Eukaryota; Metazoa; Chordata; Mammalia; Carnivora; Otariidae.
CUCCUUAGUUUAUAUCCCUCAGCAGGAGUCAGGCCAGUUGGACCCCGCAUCUUCUUCCUGUGUAUGGAGCAAUUAUUGGAACAGUCAUGGCCUGGACAAUCCUUUGUCAGUAACCAUCGGUGGUGGUUGGCAUCAGCGGGGAGAGCUGCUCACUGAUGUCUCAUCACAAACCAUCUUUCCACUGGCUUCCUGCAUUUUUCCAAAUAUCACUUUAAAAGCACACCAAAUUAGAGAAAAAUGCUUAUAAAGUGCUUGAAACUUGAUCUCAAAUGGAGGAAAUGAAUAGCAAGAUGGGAUACAUGUUGUAGCUUUGUGCAGAUUGGAAAGAUUGCGCUGAUUUCAGAAAUCUGCUCUUUUGAAGACCUGGAUCCUCUUUUAUCAAGAAGCUUGUCAGUGGGGAGUCCAUCAAAAUCCUAAAGGAGAACACAGGUAGCAACCUUUUCGACCUCAGCCGCAGCAACUUCUUCCUAGAAACAUCGCCAAAGUCACGGGAAGCCAGGG